GGAAGUAAAAGUCGUAACAAGGUUUCCGUAGGUGAACCUGCGGAAGGAUCAUUAACGAGCAAGCCCCCGCGAUGUAUUUCCGGGGGCUACAGCCUCCAACCGUGUCUACCUUUACCUGUUGCCUCGGCGGACCGCACCCCGGUGCGGCCGGCCUAACCCGCCGGCCAGCGUCCGCCAGAGGAAACCAAAACCUCAACCUUCAUGUGGAACGUCUGAGUAACUAUUGAAAAUAGUUUAAAACUUUCAACAACGGAUCUCUUGGUUCCAGCAUCGAUGAAGAACGCAGCGAAAUGCGAUAACUAAUGUGAAUUGCAGAAUUCCGUGAAUCAUCGAGUCUUUGAACGCACAUUGCGCCCCCUGGUAUUCCGGGGGGCAUGCCUGUCCGAGCGUCAUUACAACCCUCAAGCCCGGCUUGUGUAAUGGGCGGCCGUCUCUCCCCCCGGGGGGAGACGCCCCCGAAACUCAGUGGGGAUGUCGCGAUACCGAAGCCUCAGCUAAUGGGUAAACCACAGCUGCAAUGGCCGCGGCCGGCGUCCGCCUU
This 541-nucleotide unclassified non-coding RNA is filed under the name Myotisia cremea. RNAcentral describes it as "Onygenaceae sp. UAMH 3124 sequence contains 18S rRNA gene, ITS1, 5.8S rRNA gene, ITS2, 28S rRNA gene". The stretch from base 239 to 392 matches the Rfam family "5.8S ribosomal RNA". Lineage: Eukaryota; Fungi; Ascomycota; Eurotiomycetes; Onygenales. The record is from RNAcentral.